GAGUUAUUGGGGGGUGGUGUGUUUUUCACUACUUCUCUGGAGGGUUCCACAUCAUGUUAAAAUCUUUCCAACUGCCAAGAGUUUUCUGGCUUUAGUCUCACGCAGAGCUGACACUCCCAGCUCUGAGAAUGGACUUGGGACUCAGAAGUUGGUCACUGAGUUCUAGGGGUGCAGCAGUUUGGCAUGUGUGAGGCCCUGGAUUCAACGGCAGCUCCAAAGAGGAGGAGGAGGGAGAGGGGGAGGAGAAGGGAGGUGGAGGAGGGAGGAGGAGGGCACUGAGCCAAGUAAAGUUCCUUUAAACUUGCUGUCCACCUUCUUUGUCUUUCUCCCAUACAGGGCCUUUGCUGCCUUUAGCCUCCCCUCUGGCUUUCCUGGAAUUAGGAACCCUGCCGGGCAAGUCCUAUGGCCACACGAGGGCGACAUGGACUCAGCUCCUCCACUAGGAAGACACCCAGUUACACAAGAGGAAAGGAAACCAAUGAGAAUCAAGAAAGGCUCCACAAGUGAGGUCAUCUUAAGCAGAGAGCUGAAGGGCAUGGAUAUGCAAGAACAAAGCAGAGACCCCCACGAGAGCUAGAAUGCUACAGGAAUGGUGAGGUCUAUCAGACACUUGCAUGGUGGGGAGGUGAGGCUGAGGAAGUAGGAAGGCACUGCACUGUGAAUGACUUUAAAGGCUUUUUUUUUCUAGAACUAGGGAUUGAACUCAAGGCCUUGCACAUGCUGGGCAAGCAGUCUAUCACUGAGCUACAUCUCCACCCUUCUUUAAAUUUUAUUUUGACACAGAGUCUUGCUAAUUCACCCAGGCUGGGUGCAAAUUUGCAAUUCUUGUGUCUCAGCCUCCCAAGUAGCUGGGAUUACAGGUGAACUAGUACCCAGUGCUUCUCAAACCAUAUGUAAAGAAGAACAAGCUUUUUUUGUUUUUUCCUUCUAAC
Molecule: long non-coding RNA, 932 nt
Filed under: Chinchilla lanigera (long-tailed chinchilla)
Lineage: Eukaryota; Metazoa; Chordata; Mammalia; Rodentia; Chinchillidae
Description: lncRNA (ENSCLAG00000023498.1)
Source: RNAcentral